RNAcentral lists this unclassified non-coding RNA (378 nucleotides) under plant metagenome. Its description in RNAcentral is "partial contains 5.8S ribosomal RNA, internal transcribed spacer 2, and large subunit ribosomal RNA". The stretch from base 1 to 105 matches the Rfam family "5.8S ribosomal RNA", at positions 50 to 154 of the family's 154-position model. The record is from RNAcentral.
GAAAUGCGAUAAGUAAUGUGAAUUGCAGAAUUCAGUGAAUCAUCGAAUCUUUGAACGCACCUUGCGCUCCUUGGUAUUCCAUGGAGCAUGCCUGUUUGAGUAUCAUGAAAUCUUCAAAGUAAAUCUUUUGUUAACUCAAUUGGUUUCUACUUUGGUAUUGGAGGUCUUUGCAGCUUCACACCUGCUCCUCUUUGUUCAUUAGCUGGAUCUCAGUGUUAUGCUUGGUUCCACUCGGCGUGAUAAGUUAUCUAUCGCUGAGGACACUGUAAAAGGUGGCCAAGGUAAAUGCAGAUGAACCGCUUCUAAUAGUCCAUUGACUUGGACAAUACUUUUAUGAUCUGAUCUCAAAUCAGGUAGGACUACCCGCUGAACUUAAGC